CUUGGGGGUGGGUUAGAAAUAAAUCUGAGAACAAGGUGAGCUGAAAAGAAACCUGCUUGUGUUCCAAAGAUGCCUAAAUUCAUUGUCAACACAAAUAUAAACAAGGAUAAAGUUCCAGAAUCUUUUGCAGGGGAGCUUGCCCAACAGUUACCAAAAGCAUUGGGCGAACAGCACAGUAUCUAGCACUACAGAUCUCUCCUGAUCAUGUGAUGUCCUUUGGUGGCUCCACAGACCCUUGUGUCAUGUACUUUCCCUACAGCAUUGGAAAGAUAGGAGAGCGGGAGAACAAGGUCUGAUCCAAACUGCUUUGUGACCUGCUGAACAAACAGCUGAAAAUACCAUUGGUCAGAAUCUACAUCAGCUUCUUUAACAUCAGUCCUGGCAAUGUAGGCUGGAAUAGCCCCACCUUUGCUUGAGGUGCCCUGGGGAAAUCACAGCUUAUUCCUGAACCCUCACCAUGGUUUGAGAACUGCAGUUCUAGUCACCUUCUGGCAUCUGCCAAAUGCAAAAGGCAUUGGUAUCUUAGUUGUUGCUACCCACUGCUGCUUAAAUAAAAAUGCAGCAGAAACCUUAUGACU
Molecule: long non-coding RNA, 578 nt
Organism: Hirundo rustica (Barn swallow)
Lineage: Eukaryota; Metazoa; Chordata; Aves; Passeriformes; Hirundinidae
Exons: 3
Source: RefSeq, a predicted model, not a curated record